AUAUUGUAGUCGCUGUAUAUUGUGAGACAUGUACAUCAGACCGUAGAUGUACCCAGACCACAUGCUCAGACUCACAUCAUGUAGUCUGCUUAGCGGGUCAUUGCACAUGCAGGUAGCAGAACAGGACACAGUAAGCAAUUUCUUUUUAUUACAUUUUAAAUCAAGAGUAGAAUUGUUUUUACAGUGAAUUGAUAUUUUAAAAAUAAUAGAAAAAAGUAAAAUCACAAAAAUACUGAACUUAGAGGAAGAUCAAUUGGGAAAGUCCAUAAUCACAUAGAACAAUGGUUCAAUAGUUCUACAGUUGGAAUAUCGUGACUAGCAAAACUCUCAUCAAAUGUGACUUCUAUUGGUAGUAACGAUAUACCGGCAGUCUGCAAGCGUAUUAUAAUUCGCCGUUUCAGAAUCUAAUGCAUUCUGGGUAAUAUUUUCAAAAGCGUACACCAAAGCGUUUUGAUUGGUUUAAAACGUAUAAACAAUGGAAAUUACCAAUGACGUAACGUAUUUUAACUUGGGGUACGAACAAUGAAAUUACCCAUGAUGCUUUAGAUUCUGAAACGGCCAAUUGAAACAUCAAGGCAAUAAUUACAUAUCACAUCUGUUAUAUAAUUUGUUAGUAUAAUAAUUAUAUUAAAAUUGCACUAUAUAGCUUUAUCUGUAACUAACAUAACUGUCGUUAAACGUUAUACAACAUUGUAUUCUGCUUAUACGUACUCAAAUAUUAGAUAUUAACGGUUUUCUAGAAUGGUUUACUUUAAAUUCGUAUUAAAGAGAUAUUACUUACAUUCUUUUGGUGUUGGCUUCGAUAGAAUAUACGAGUGUUACAAUCAAUUAUAUACGUAAAUUAGAAAUCGUUCCUAUAACGUAAAUUUAUCAAAGUAUACAUGGAACUAUAUGGCAAUCAACAAAAAAAAUCAUCCUAAUGUAUAUUAAGACAUAGCUUUAGUGCCAAUUAUGUACAUAAUGGAAAGAACAAUAAAAAUAAUAAAUUAUUUAUGUACGCAAAAAAAGAAAAAAAUAAUAAACUAUUUAUGUACGCAAAAAAAGAAAACAAAACUUAAACAUUAGAAAAUUCUACAUUUCAUACAGAAUAAAUAAGGGAAGAAAACCUAAAGAACGUUUGGUUGUGUAAUUUUUCAAAUCCUCUCUUCGCAUGUGCCAGAUCAAUUCACCGUUUCAGAAUCUAAUGCAUUCUGGGUAAUAUUUUCAAAAGUGUACACCAAAGCGUGGUGAUGGUUUAAAACGUCCUAAACAAUCGAAAUCAACAAUGAGUAACGUAUUUUCAUUUUGGGUACGGACAAUGCAAUUACCCAUAGUCUUUUAGAUUCUGAAACGGCCAAUUGAAGAACAUAUUAAACAAUGUAUAUAUCAACAUAGGAAUACGGUAUAACAAUGUCUAUAUCAAACAUAGGAAUACCGUAUACAAAUGUAUAUAUCAAUAAUUCAUUGUUCUUCAUCUCAAAAGUACAACAUUGAUACAAUCACAAUUAUGUACGUAUAAAUAUGGUCAAGUUUAUUCCAACCACUUACCAUAAAUGGUAUGGAAAUAGAAGUAAAUGUCUAUGUCAUUCUACUUAAUUUUUUAAAAACUGUUUUUUAGCAUAUAUAUCAUAUACAAAAUAAUUAAAUAUCAACAUUUUAUUUUGCAGCAUGCACAGCCGUAGCCGACUGUAGCAGUGAACAUUGCAGAUUUGGACGGUCCCACUGUUAUGACGGUCAUUGUCAUUGUCUCCCUGGAGCAGGAAAAUAAUUCAAAUAGAACCUCAUUACUUUAUAAUGGUUUAAUUGACAUUUUUGGCAAAUAAAUAGGUG
Molecule: long non-coding RNA, 1809 nt
Filed under: Mytilus galloprovincialis (Mediterranean mussel)
Lineage: Eukaryota; Metazoa; Mollusca; Bivalvia; Mytilida; Mytilidae
Source: RNAcentral